RNAcentral lists this ribosomal RNA (447 nucleotides) under uncultured bacterium. Its description in RNAcentral is "bacterial SSU rRNA". It matches the Rfam family "Bacterial small subunit ribosomal RNA", at positions 355 to 825 of the family's 1533-position model. The record is from RNAcentral.
UGGGGAAUAUUGAACAAUGGGCGCAAGCCUGAUCCAGCCAUGCCGCGUGAGUGACGAAGGUCUUCGGAUUGUAAAGCUCCUUUGGCGGGGACGAUAAUGACGGUACCCGCAGAAUAAGCCCCGGCUAACUUCGUGCCAGCAGCCGCGGUAAUACGAAGGGGGCUAGCGUUGUUCGGAAUCACUGGGCGUAAAGCGCACGUAGGCGGAUGUGCCAGUCAGGGGUGAAAUCCCGGAGCUCAACUCCGGAACUGCCUCUGAUACUGCACGUCUUGAGUUCGAGAGAGGUGGGUGGAAUUCCUAGUGUAGAGGUGAAAUUCGUAGAUAUUAGGAAGAACACCAGUGGCGAAGGCGGCUCACUGGUCCGGUACUGACGCUGAGGUGCGAAAGCGUGGGGAGCAAACAGGAUUAGAUACCCCUGUAGUCCCUGAGCGGGCUGGCAAGGCGCAU